Molecule: ribosomal RNA, 254 nt
Filed under: uncultured bacterium
Lineage: Bacteria
Description: partial 16S ribosomal RNA
Rfam family: Bacterial small subunit ribosomal RNA
Source: RNAcentral
UACGUAGGCAGCGAGCGUUGUUCGGAGUUACUGGGCGUAAAGAGUGCGUAGGCGGUUUUCUAAGUUUGGUGUGAAAUCUCCCGGCUCAACUGGGAGGGUGCGCCGAAGACUGGAAGGCUUGAGUAUGGGAGAGGUAAGCGGAAUUCCUGGUGUAGCGGUGAAAUGCGUAGAUAUCAGGAGGAACACCGAUGGCGAAGGCAGGUCUCUGGGCCACUACUGACGCUGAGUGAGCGAAAGCCAGGGGAGCAAACGGG